AGUGAACGCUGGCGGUAGGCCUAACACAUGCAAGUCGAACGGCAGCACAGUAAGAGCUUGCUCUUACGGGUGGCGAGUGGCGGACGGGUGAGGAAUACAUCGGAAUCUACUUUUUCGUGGGGGAUAACGAAGGGAAACUUACGCUAAUACCGCAUACGACCUACGGGGGAAAGAAGGGGACCUUCGGACCUUGGGCGAUGGAUUAAGCGGAUGUCGGAUUAGCUAGUUGGCGGGGUAAAGGCCAACCAAGGCGACGAUCCGUAGCUGGUCUGAGAGGAUGAUCAGCCACACUGGAACUGAGACACGGUCCAGACUCCUACGGGAGGCAGCAGUGGGGAAUAUUGGACAAUGGGCGCAAGCCUGAUCCAGCCAUACCGCGUGGGUGAAGAAGGCCUUCGGGUUGUAAAGCCCUUUUGUUGGGAAAGAAAAGCAGCAGGUUAAUACCCCGCUGUUCUGACGGUACCCAAAGAAUAAGCACCGGCUAACUUCGUG
This 492-nucleotide ribosomal RNA is filed under the name uncultured bacterium. RNAcentral's name for it is "partial 16S ribosomal RNA". It matches the Rfam family "Bacterial small subunit ribosomal RNA", at positions 29 to 507 of the family's 1533-position model. The record is from RNAcentral.